ACMAAGGCHUMGAUCAGUAGCUGGUCURAGAGGACGACCAGCCACACUGGGACUGAGACACGGCCMAGACUCUACGGGAGGCAGCAGUGGGGAAUUUUGGACAAKGGGGGCAACCCUGAUCCAGCAAUGCCGCGUGAGUGAAGAAGGCCUUMGGGUUGUAAAGCUCUUUUGUCAGGGAAGAAASGGUCUGAUCUAAUACAUUGGGCUAAUGASGGUACCUGAAGAAUAAGCACCGGCUAACACGUGCCAGCAGCCGSGGUAAUACGUAGGGUGCAAGCGUUAAUCGGAAUUACUGGGCGUAAAGCGUGCGCAGGCGGUUAUGUAASACAGGUGUGAAAUCCCSGGGCUUAACCUGGGAAUGGCAUUUGUGACUGCAUAGCUAGAGUGUGUCAGAGGGGGGUAGAAUUCCACKUGUAGCAGUGAAAUGCGUAGAGAUGUGGAGGAAUACCGAUGGCGAAGGCAGCCCCYUGGGAUAACACUGACGCUMAUGCACGAAAGCGUGGGGAGCAAACAGGAUUAGAUACCCUGGUAGUCCACGCCCUAAACGAUGUCUACUAGUUGUCGGGUCUWAAUUGACUUGGUAACGCACKCAA
Molecule: ribosomal RNA, 593 nt
Filed under: Collimonas fungivorans
Lineage: Bacteria; Pseudomonadati; Pseudomonadota; Betaproteobacteria; Burkholderiales; Oxalobacteraceae
Description: partial 16S ribosomal RNA
Rfam family: Bacterial small subunit ribosomal RNA
Source: RNAcentral